UACGUAGGCAGCAAGCGUUGUUCGGAGUUACUGGGCGUAAAGGGUGUGUAGGCGGUCGGGUAAGUCUGAUGUGAAAUCUCACAGCUUAACUGUGAAACUGCAUUGGAUACUAUCCGGCUAGAGGAAUGGAGGGGAGACUGGAAUACUUGGUGUAGCAGUGAAAUGCGUAGAUAUCAAGUGGAACACCAGUGGCGAAGGCGAGUCUCUGGACAUUUCCUGACGCUGAGGCACGAAAGCCAGGGGAGCAAACGGG
Molecule: ribosomal RNA, 253 nt
Filed under: uncultured bacterium
Lineage: Bacteria
Description: partial 16S ribosomal RNA
Rfam family: Bacterial small subunit ribosomal RNA
Source: RNAcentral